UUUCCGUAGGUGAACCUGCGGAAGGAUCAUUAUUGUAUAAUCGAGGUUCGAGGUCUGUCGCUGAACCGCAAGGUCGUGCACGCCCGAGUGCCCCCACACACAUCCAUCUUACCCCUCUGAGCACCAUCGAGUGGGUCCUCAUUUGGCUUGUUAGGUGCGAGGAAUACGUUUUUACCCAAACUAUGUAUGAAGUGCAGAAUGUAUUUUUUGUUUUCGCGAUUACGCUAUAAAUACAACUAUCAACAACGGAUCCCUUGGUCUUCGCAUAGAAGAAGAACG
This 279-nucleotide unclassified non-coding RNA is filed under the name plant metagenome. Its description in RNAcentral is "partial contains small subunit ribosomal RNA, internal transcribed spacer 1, and 5.8S ribosomal RNA". The record is from RNAcentral.